This 301-nucleotide ribosomal RNA is filed under the name uncultured bacterium. Its description in RNAcentral is "partial 16S ribosomal RNA". It matches the Rfam family "Bacterial small subunit ribosomal RNA", at positions 509 to 807 of the family's 1533-position model. The record is from RNAcentral.
CAGUCGCCACGGGAAUACGUGGGUGGCAAGCGUUGUCCGGAAUUAUUGGGCGUAAAGGGCUCGCAGGCGGUUUCUUAAGUCUGAUGUGAAAGCCCCCGGCUCAACCGGGGAGGGUCAUUGUAAACUGGGAAACUUGAGUGCAGAAGAGGAGAGUGGAAUUCCACGUGUAGCGGUGAAAUGCGUAGAGAUGUGGAGGAACACCAGUGGCGAAGGCGACUCUCUGGUCUGUAACUGACGCUGAGGAGCGAAAGCGUGGGGAGCGAACAGGAUUAGAUACCCCUGUAGUCCCUGUCUCUUAUAC